This 1508-nucleotide ribosomal RNA is filed under the name metagenome. Its description in RNAcentral is "bacterial SSU rRNA". It matches the Rfam family "Bacterial small subunit ribosomal RNA". The record is from RNAcentral.
AGAGUUUGAUCCUGGCUCAGGACGAACGCUGGCGGCGUGCCUAAUACAUGCAAGUCGAGCGGACAGAUGGGAGCUUGCUCCCUGAUGUUAGCGGCGGACGGGUGAGUAACACGUGGGUAACCUGCCUGUAAGACUGGGAUAACUCCGGGAAACCGGGGCUAAUACCGGAUGGUUGUUUGAACCGCAUGGUUCAAACAUAAAAGGUGGCUUCGGCUACCACUUGCAGAUGGACCCGCGGCGCAUUAGCUAGUUGGUGAGGUAAUGGCUCACCAAGGCAACGAUGCGUAGCCGACCUGAGAGGGUGAUCGGCCACACUGGGACUGAGACACUGCCCAGACUCCUACGGGAGGCAGCAGUAGGGAAUCUUCCGCAAUGGACGAAAGUCUGACGGAGCAACGCCGCGUGAGUGAUGAAGGUUUUCGGAUCGUAAAGCUCUGUUGUUAGGGAAGAACAAGUGCCGUUCGAAUAGGGCGGUACCUUGACGGUACCUAACCAGAAAGCCACGGCUAACUACGUGCCAGCAGCCGCGGUAAUACGUAGGUGGCAAGCGUUGUCCGGAAUUAUUGGGCGUAAAGGGCUCGCAGGCGGUUUCUUAAGUCUGAUGUGAAAGCCCCCGGCUCAACCGGGGAGGGUCAUUGGAAACUGGGGAACUUGAGUGCAGAAGAGGAGAGUGGAAUUCCACGUGUAGCGGUGAAAUGCGUAGAGAUGUGGAGGAACACCAGUGGCGAAGGCGACUCUCUGGUCUGUAACUGACGCUGAGGAGCGAAAGCGUGGGGAGCGAACAGGAUUAGAUACCCUGGUAGUCCACGCCGUAAACGAUGAGUGCUAAGUGUUAGGGGGUUUCCGCCCCUUAGUGCUGCAGCUAACGCAUUAAGCACUCCGCCUGGGGAGUACGGUCGCAAGACUGAAACUCAAAGGAAUUGACGGGGGCCCGCACAAGCGGUGGAGCAUGUGGUUUAAUUCGAAGCAACGCGAAGAACCUUACCAGGUCUUGACAUCCUCUGACAAUCCUAGAGAUAGGACGUCCCCUUCGGGGGCAGAGUGACAGGUGGUGCAUGGUUGUCGUCAGCUCGUGUCGUGAGAUGUUGGGUUAAGUCCCGCAACGAGCGCAACCCUUGAUCUUAGUUGCCAGCAUUCAGUUGGGCACUCUAAGGUGACUGCCGGUGACAAACCGGAGGAAGGUGGGGAUGACGUCAAAUCAUCAUGCCCCUUAUGACCUGGGCUACACACGUGCUACAAUGGACAGAACAAAGGGCAGCGAAACCGCGAGGUUAAGCCAAUCCCACAAAUCUGUUCUCAGUUCGGAUCGCAGUCUGCAACUCGACUGCGUGAAGCUGGAAUCGCUAGUAAUCGCGGAUCAGCAUGCCGCGGUGAAUACGUUCCCGGGCCUUGUACACACCGCCCGUCACACCACGAGAGUUUGUAACACCCGAAGUCGGUGAGGUAACCUUUUAGGAGCCAGCCGCCGAAGGUGGGACAGAUGAUUGGGGUGAAGUCGUAACAAGGUA